UCGACAGACUGGCAUUUUAUAGAUGUCGAUCAUCAGCUGUGUUGGAUUCUGACUCACUGAAAACAGUUCACACAGUCCCAUGAAAAACUGUAGUUUAAUUAAAACUUCAGGACCGUCUGUUCAAACCAAUCCUCUCUGUCCAAAACAGCAGUGCAAUUACCUGGACUUUGUGCCUAAACCACACAGCACCUAAUGAUGUUGCACUGUUAUAUUAAAUAAAUAAAAGAACAAAGUCA
Molecule: long non-coding RNA, 236 nt
Organism: Thunnus maccoyii (southern bluefin tuna)
Lineage: Eukaryota; Metazoa; Chordata; Actinopteri; Scombriformes; Scombridae
Exons: 2
Source: RefSeq, a predicted model, not a curated record